ACUCAAAGGAAUUGACGGGGGCCCGCACAAGCAGCGGAGCAUGUGGUUUAAUUCGAAGCAACGCGAAGAACCUUACCUGGGCUUGACAUGUGCCUGACCGCCGUGGAAACACGGCUUCCCUUCGGGGCAGGUUCACAGGUGGUGCAUGGCUGUCGUCAGCUCGUGUCGUGAGAUGUUGGGUUAAGUCCCGCAACGAGCGCAACCCUCGUCGUAUGUUGCCAGCAUUUAGUUGGGGACUCAUGCGAGACUGCCGGUGACAAACCGGAGGAAGGCGGGGAUGACGUCAAGUCAUCAUGCCCCUUAUGUCCAGGGCUACACACGUGCUACAUUGGCGCGUACAGAGGGCAGCGAUACCGCGAGGUGGAGCGAAUCCCACAAAGCGCGUCUCGGUUCGGAUUGUAGGCUGAAACUCGCCUACAUGAAGGUGGAGUUGCUAGUAAUCGUGGAUCAGCACGCCACGGUGAAUACGUUCCCGGGCCUUGUACACACCGCCCGU
RNAcentral lists this ribosomal RNA (496 nucleotides) under uncultured bacterium. Its description in RNAcentral is "partial 16S ribosomal RNA". It matches the Rfam family "Bacterial small subunit ribosomal RNA", at positions 899 to 1397 of the family's 1533-position model. The record is from RNAcentral.